RNAcentral lists this unclassified non-coding RNA (237 nucleotides) under Hevea brasiliensis (rubber tree). The record is from RNAcentral. Lineage: Eukaryota; Viridiplantae; Streptophyta; Magnoliopsida; Malpighiales; Euphorbiaceae.
AAAAUAAAUGUGCAAACCAGGUGUAAGAAACAUGUUGGUCAGAAGCACGCUGGACAGGGAAGGUCAUCGGCAAGCGGCACAGCCGGAAAAAUCACCGGGAAAAGGGUGCAUGCGUCGUCGCAUGAGGAACGGCGCAAAACUUCUGGAAGCACGUGAGCUCAUGUGCUUCACUAGACAGCGGCGCAACUCCGGGUUUAGGCCGACUUGCUGAUUUCCUUCCUCCUUAGGUGGGUGGUG